Cricetulus griseus (Chinese hamster) is the source of this 3747-nucleotide non-coding RNA. The record is from RefSeq and is a predicted model, not a curated record. NCBI's taxonomy places the organism in Eukaryota, Metazoa, Chordata, Mammalia, Rodentia, Cricetidae.
UGGAGGAGGGGGGGCUGGAGCAGAAGGUCAGACAAUCAAAUGUGUCCCUCGCGGUUUGGGUCUGGCUCUGACUUGUUUGUAAUAAAAACAUUUGGCUUGCCUUCUAUGGGAGCCGAGCAUGAUGUAAACGGUGAAGGACUUACAUUCCUGAUUGUCCUCCUGGGGACUUCCUGACAAGGGGGUGGAGCUGAGUAGCUCCUGGAAUCAUCUACCCCCAAGACAUCAUAUUGAGAGUUUGAAUUAUGCAAAUAAUUCAGAUGCUACAAUGAAAGCUCUAAAUAUACCUUAAACCCACAAACAAUUUACUUGUCUCCAGGUCUAUGGACUGUGUCCCUUUAAAUGUACUUUCCAUUCCUGGUUGUACUGUAAUCAGCAGAUGGCCCUCCCUCCCCUUCCCUCCUUCCUCCUCCCUUAAAACAGACCCUUCUAAUAGCUAGCAUCCUGCAGUGACCAAAGCCAUUAGAAGGAUUAGGCCAUUACUAUCCUGUCCAGCACACACACAAUGCUCCAGGGACUGCCUUUCUUCCUCUUUGCUUGAUGUUUUUUGUGGAUGAAAUCAGGGUUGAAAAAUCAAAAAAUGAGGAGGGCAGAAGGUGAUAGUCACCUCCCAAAUAGCUUUUCCUAUUUGAGAUUCCUUUGUUAAGGUGACAGCAGAUGUCAUCCUUGUGGUUUAUAAAGCAGGCACUGAAAGCUCGCGGACAGGUUACAGACCUCUGUUCCUCGUUACCAUAACACUGAAGGCUCAUCCUUUCCCAAACACAAGAGCGAAUCUGUUCUCUCCUGCUCGCCCACUGUUGUUUGUGCUGGAAAGAACCUGGGCCCAGCCCAGAGCCACGUUGCAGGGCUCAGGACUGCUCUGAAACACUGCCACCAAGUGGCGUGAUGAGGUACGACAAUUACGCAGUAAGGGCAACAGUACUCCAGGCUUUAGAAGCUCAAAGGAGAGGGGUGGCAAAAAAUCAGGCACAAAGACAGUAGCCGGCUUGGACAUGGCUAAAUAGUGCAGGCGACAGGAAAAAGGGGCGGCGGGGGGCGGGGGAGCUGGAGCGUGAAGAGAGAAAUUAAAAGCAAUGAAUUGGUAGGCGUGAGCAGUUUUCCCUGGAAGCUGGAGAUGCAGGCAGGAUGAGCUUCGAGUCAGCCUCUGUUUGGAUGGCUUAGUCUGGCUUGCAUCUGGAUUCUUUUUUAUUUUUUUUUCAUUUUUAAAAUUUUUUUUCUUUUCAUUUUACAUUCCAACCACAGUUCUCCCUCCCUCCCCUCCUCCCAGAACCUCCCUCCCCCGCCUCCUCCCACAUAGGUCUUCAGUCAAGGGUAUACGCAGUAGCUGCUCCCUUCUAGAACCUCCAAGUGUCUGGAUUCUUAAGGAUCCCGGAGCUCUGUUGAGUUCAGGAAGUCACCGUGCCUCUGUUUCCUUGCUUUGUGGGCUGAGUUAGACCUCUUAAGUUUCCCUUCAGUUGAAACAUUGUAUGGAUUUGUUGUUGAGAAAUGCAAUACAGAUUGCAUACAGUUGGCAAUCCCCAAAUCGUUUGUGUGACGUCUGGUUGCUGUACCGGGAGACUUAAAAACCUCCAUCUUGCUCGUCUUCAGCAUCCUGUAGCUCAAGACUCCUCGGGAAAGUGUAGAAGAGGGCCCCCCAGGAUGUGGUAACUGCUAUCAAGCUUCCCAGUACCAGCUGAGGAGAGCCAGCUCCCGGAGACCUGGAAACUUGUAGUAUUUCAGGGCACCGGAGCUGUUGGGUAGUGGGAGCAUUGGUAAGGAACUGGUAUGGAGUGAAGCUGGACUCUCAGAACACUGAAGCAACACCGGAACCUAAUGGGUUAGCAAUUGAGUAGACCACUCUUUUCUGUAAGAUUCACAUCUUAAAAGAAAACUUUCUGUUAGAAGGCUCCCAAGAAAUCAGAUACUGUUAGCUGGAAUGCAAGAAUGUGGGCAAAUAGGAAAAUUCCUAGGUCCCCCAACCCUGUCUGAUGAUUCUUACCCUUUGUCACUUCUUGGGAAAAAUCCUAUGUGAUGGCUGUUUUAAACACUGGUCCUGGAGAAGAUGCGGGCUCCGGCUCUGAAGAAACCCAUGUUACAUUUCCUCCUCCAUUUAGGAUUUGAUGGUCCUGCUUAUCUAGAGUGCUCACAUUGUGAACACCGUGGCGGGCUGGGGAUUUUAAUUCUGCCUUGAUGGAAUUUGAACCUAAACAUGAUGCCAGUGCCACUUUAUAAACUGGGAAUCAUUAAGCUGGCUACAAAUACCUCGAGGGGUCCUUGCUCGUUCAACAUAAAUCAGUAAAAUGACAGGCAAUUGACUUUGAAGACAGCUCUCAUGCGGCUGAGUGGCUGGAGCUGCUGGAAGCAGAUGAGGCCAUUUUCCUGUAAACAUGCUUUGGAUUAGCACCAGAGUAAACAGCAGAUUGGGCUGUGUCUUCCAGACUCCAGCCUACCCUGGAUCUUUUAUUAGGCAGAAACCAACAUGCCCCUCAGGGCAGGGAAGUUGCCAAUUGGAAGAACUAAGUUUGGAUUUCAACUACUGAUGGGUCUAAAAUUCUUGCUUGGGGCCAUAUGGAGUGGAUAAGCCGGGAGGAAAUGAUACCGGCCUCUGUUUCUGCUCAACUCUCUCCACUGGGUCAGUGGACCCUUUGAAGUAGCCCUUUCUUUACCUCAGAUUCUGACAUGAAUAACUGAUCACCUUCCAGUCUACACAAGAUAAGGAGCCGUGGCUCAAAACUGCAACUCUCUUAAGUAUAUGAGAGCCAGACCACCCAGGGCACUGUUCCAAGAAGGGAGAGAAUUUCCCACAUGUGUUCAGCAUUUUAUUCUUCCCCCAACACUUGGCUCUGUAUUACUGUGUUUAAAUUGGAUAAUGUCUACAUGAAAGGGCUAUGUCAAUGGUAUCAGUAACAAAAAAGAUGCCACCCACCUGGGGAUGUCAAGAGAGAAAAUAUAGGGUGCUAGACAAAUGGCUCUGUGGCUAAGAGCACUGGCUGCUCUUACAGACAACCAAGGUUUCGUCCCCAGCACCCACAUGGGUGCUCAAAACCAUCUGUAAUUCCAGCUCCAGGGGAUCUGGCACCCUCUCCUGGUCUCUGUUGACACUGCAAGUACACAGUGCCCAUACAUAUAUGCAAACAAACACUUUCACACAUAAAAUAAAAAUAAGGAAAGCCAGGGUGGGUUCAGAGGGAGAAUAUGAAUGAGAAUACGACAAGUCCACUCUUGAAGGUUCUGUCUGGUGUCACUUGUGGCUCUAGACUGGCCACCAAAAAUGCUCCAGGCUGCUGACUAAGAGGGCAGGUUAUAUUUAUAACCAGAGAGAAGGAAAUUAGGUGAAGAAAUUGGAUUGAGGUAGCCACUGUUUGAUUGGUCACAGAUGUGUCUGUCUUAUUUGAACUUCUUGCUGGCUGCUGGUGACAGGCCAAGGCUCUGUGAUUUGUUACAAGGUAGGUUCCACAUCACGCUAGGCUGCAGUUGAGUAUUUGUGCAGAAACCUUUGACCAAACUUAAAAAUACAACCCUGUGCUGGCUAGUUUAAUGUCAGCUAGACACAGGCUAGAGUCAUCAGGGAGGAGGGAAGCUCCAUUGAGAAGAUGCCUCCAUAAGAUCAAGCUGUAGGCAAGCCUGUUGGACAUUUUCCUAAUUCAUGAAGGAUAGCCCAGCCCAUUGUGGGUGGUGCCAUCCCUGGGCUGGUGGUCCUGGGUUCUAUAAGAAAACAGGCUGAGUAAGCCAUGAGGAGCAAGCCAGUGAGCAGCUCCCCUCCAUGGCCUC